Molecule: long non-coding RNA, 2111 nt
Organism: Anthonomus grandis grandis
Lineage: Eukaryota; Metazoa; Arthropoda; Insecta; Coleoptera; Curculionidae
Exons: 3
Source: RefSeq, a predicted model, not a curated record
AUCCAAGGAAUGCCCUAAACACGCAGUGGGGAAGAGACCUGCCGUAUCCUCAUAAGGCUCUGAGUUCAAACCUUAGCCUCGGCAUGGUGCUCUACCCAACUUUUUCUUUUUUUAGUACUUGGAAAACAUUAACAUCUAUAAUAAAUCCAAAAAUCUCAUCCAUUAUUCUCUAAGAGACCAACAUACAAAAUUGACGAAACACAAAGUCACGGUCUCACAACAUGUAAUUAAACGGGCUACACGUGUUUCGCUCUAGUUAGAGCAUCAUCAGGCCUUUAGAAGCCAUCCACACACUUAUGCUGUAACUGAUGAUGCUCUAACUAGAGCGAAACACGUGUAGCCCGUUUAAUUACAUGUUGUGAGACCGUGACUUUGUGUUUUUCUUUGUUUUUCGUCAAUCUAUAGUAAAUACAGAGAGAAAAGGAAAGGUCUUAUUAUAUAUUAUAAUCAAAAAUAAAUUUCAUUGAAAUAUUACUAACUUAUUUCUGGGUAUCAUGCUUCAGAGAACCAUGAUGUGUUACAAUACGCUCCGCUCUUUAAUUUUAGUUUAGUAGAAAAUAUUCUCAAAACCUACAUAUAUCAAAAUUAUGUCAGGGUUCUAAAAUGAAUCGGUAAUAAAAUCGUAAACCAGAUCAACAUUGGAAAUAAUUUAAAAAAUUUGCUUUGGUCCGAUUGAAAAAAGUACUAUACUACCAAAUAGUUACAUCUAUUCUGUAGCAAUAAAAGUUAUAAAAUUCUGUCUAUUAUUAAUUUUAAUAUUAUAAAGUGUAUCGUUUAACUCUUAGCCAUUAUUUAUAAUUUAAUUGUUAAUUAUGCCUAAAAAAACGAAUUAACAAUUUUGGUAUUGUUUGGAAGGUAAACAGCUUAAUUCCUUUAUGUAAAGCCACCUUAACAUGUUUUUGCAUAAUUCUGACUCACGUUGGUUGCUAUCGGGCUUAAGCCAUAAAAAUCGAAGAAAAAAAGAAGAAGACGAAGAGACUUUCACUUGUCAUUUCAAUGUCACUUUCCGGCCCACAAGCAUAAACGCCACCGGCAACGGAAGUUCCCAAAAUCCAAACAAAUGUUGGAAGAUAUUUUUAAGUCUCCGCAUCUUUCUUACUUUCCUAUAUGAAAAUAAAAUGUAAGUAUCACAAUUACACACAUACAAGUUUUUUUUUUUAAUUCAGUUUCAUAAUUACCAAUUUUUAGUGAAUAAUCCUGAAAUUUAUGAAAAUACAUACAUUUUAAGGUUAUGUCAUAAUGUUUUGAUUGUUAUAUUUGAUUUUGUUUUUGUUAUUUUAGUGGACUACACCAACAAAGGUUAUGUGUUUUGCACCAGAUUGAAAGCAUCAUAGCGAAAAACGGACCUGUCAUAUCUUUAAAUUUUCAAAAGAGCCCCUGGAAAAAGAAAAAUGAAUAUCUUUGCCAAGGAAUAGGUACUAAGGCAAAUGGAUAAAAAACCUUCAGUCCAUGCAUUGGUAUGUAAUUGUUGACAAAAAUACAAUGAAUGGCCUCACUACUUUUCCACAUGCAAAGAGGUUAACCAAGGAGAAAUUAAAGAAAUUGUCAAAAACCUAGGUAAAUACAGAAUUGCUUAGUACAAACAUAUCUAUACCCAGUACAAGUUCGUCCACUUCUUUGAAGCAUGGUACUUCAAACAGAAACACUGUCAACAAUUUUGUAGAAGGUGAGCCGGUGUCAAAUUCCAGUAAGGGACAUGAUUUCAAUUUUGCACCAACAGCAGAGCUAAAAUUCAUUUUGCCGCAAAAAACUGGAGGAUGUGAAAGAAAAAAGUGCAGAAGUUAAAAUUAAGUUUUUCAUAUGAGCACAUAAAAAAUAAUCAUGACAAAGUUCAGUUGUAUACAGGUUUGACAUGUAAUAAAUAUUUUUGUAAUCUUAUUAAGUUAAUUAGUUUUAUAUAUUAUUUAAAUAAUAAUUGAAUACUUCACAUAGAAUAUGCAGAAAUUAUAUGUACAUAUAUAAAUUUUUUUAUUAAGAUAAGGACAACAUGUAUUAAAGCAUAACACAUAAUAUAAACACACACGUAAUAUCUUCAUUAAAAAUUAUGAUUGUAUGUUAUGUAGCAUUAGAGCCUAAAAACAUUAAGGAGAAUAAAGGUCGUUAUUGGCAAA